This 253-nucleotide ribosomal RNA is filed under the name uncultured bacterium. RNAcentral's name for it is "partial 16S ribosomal RNA". It matches the Rfam family "Bacterial small subunit ribosomal RNA", at positions 524 to 776 of the family's 1533-position model. The record is from RNAcentral.
UACGUAGGGUGCGAGCGUUAAUCGGAAUUACUGGGCGUAAAGCGUGCGCAGGCGGUUUUGUAAGCCAGAUGUGAAAUCCCCGGGCUUAACCUGGGAAUGGCAUUUGGGACUGCAAGGCUUGAGUGCGGCAGAGGAGACUGGAAUUCCUGGUGUAGCAGUGAAAUGCGUAGAUAUCAGGAAGAACACCAAUGGCGAAGGCAGCUCUCUGGGUCGGUACUGACGCUGAGACGCGAAAGCGUGGGGAGCGAACAGG